RNAcentral lists this ribosomal RNA (566 nucleotides) under uncultured archaeon. RNAcentral's name for it is "bacterial SSU rRNA". It matches the Rfam family "Archaeal small subunit ribosomal RNA", at positions 313 to 879 of the family's 1478-position model. The record is from RNAcentral.
GCGAAUCGCCCUUCGGGGUGCACCAGGCGCGAAAACUUUACAAUGCGGGAAACCGUGAUAAGGGGACACCGAGUGCCAGCAUCAUAUGCUGGCUGUCCAGGUGUGUAAACUACACCUGUUAGCAAGGGCCGGGCAAGACCGGUGCCAGCCGCCGCGGUAACACCGGCGGCCCGAGUGGUGAUCGUGAUUAUUGGGUCUAAAGGGUCCGUAGCCGGUUUGGUCAGUCCUCCGGGAAAUCUGACGGCUCAACCGUUAGGCUUUCGGGGGAUACUGCCAGGCUUGGAACCGGGAGAGGUAAGAGGUACUACAGGGGUAGGAGUGAAAUCUUGUAAUCCCUGUGGGACCACCUGUGGCGAAGGCGUCUUACCAGAACGGGUUCGACGGUGAGGGACGAAAGCUGGGGGCACGAACCGGAUUAGAUACCCGGGUAGUCCCAGCCGUAAACGAUGCUCGCUAGGUGUCAGGCAUGGCGCGACCGUGUCUGGUGCCGCAGGGAAGCCGUGAAGCGAGCCACCUGGGAAGUACGGCCGCAAGGCUGAAACUUAAAGGAAUUGGCGGGGGAGCAC